GUCUUCCCGGGCCCACCAUUUGCAUUUGCGAAUGAGGGUUAGGGAUGAUGGAAUAUGGCUGAUGCGGAAGUUGCCGAACCCGGGAUAUCCUGGGCGAUCGAGCUGAUGGGGCUGUAGCUCAGCUGGGAGAGCACCUGCUUUGCAAGCAGGGGGUCAGCGGUUCGAUCCCGCUCAGCUCCACCAAAUCGAUUGGUGUUGAAGCUGACGGCGUUUGUCUUUUGAAGAAAAUAAAAGUUUGCAUCGGCUUAUGGCCUGAUGCCUGUUCUGCAUACAUUGUGAAGAGAAGAUUGAUCUGGAGGCUUCCAGGUGUCGGGUUUUACCCGAUGUCCGAGCCCAGUUCUUGUGAAACCAUGGAUGGCCUAGCCGGCCGGAUGUGGUGGAGGGACUGGAGGUAGGAAGGAAGCUUGUCGCUCUGGGUCGUUGUUGUUUGCUUGAUCUCUAGGGAUGAAGCAUCUGACGGACGGCUUGAUUACCGUUGCCUGACCGCGCGGUAUCGGAUCCAAUCUCGAGAAGCUGGUCUUAAGACAGGCUGCAAGUGGGCUGCUCGGCGUAGCUCCAAUAAAGCAGACCUGUCGAACACGUCGAUGGCAUUGUUGGAUUGACUGGGUUGUAAAAGGUAACCCGGUCUGUUGUCGUUUCUUCGAAACGAGCAACGAGAUGAUGAGCAUUGGCAAUGAGAACGAUUAAGUGUCGUAAGGGCAUUUGGUGGAUGCCUUGGCAUGCACAGGCGAUGAAGGACGUGAUACGCUGCGAAAAGCCGUGGGGAGCUGCGAAUGAGCUUUGAUCCAUGGAUCUC
Molecule: unclassified non-coding RNA, 796 nt
Filed under: Rhizobium sp.
Lineage: Bacteria; Pseudomonadati; Pseudomonadota; Alphaproteobacteria; Hyphomicrobiales; Rhizobiaceae
Description: partial contains 16S-23S ribosomal RNA intergenic spacer and 23S ribosomal RNA
Rfam family: Bacterial large subunit ribosomal RNA (bases 682-796)
Source: RNAcentral